RNAcentral lists this ribosomal RNA (209 nucleotides) under uncultured bacterium. RNAcentral's name for it is "partial 16S ribosomal RNA". It matches the Rfam family "Bacterial small subunit ribosomal RNA", at positions 568 to 774 of the family's 1533-position model. The record is from RNAcentral.
UGCGUAGGCGGUCUGUUAAGUUGGAUGUGAAAACUCUGGGCUCAACCCAGAGCCUGCAUCCAAAAACUGGCAGGCUAGAGUUCUGGAGGGGGUAGCGGAAUUCCUGGUGUAGCGGUGAAAUGCGUAGAUAUCAGGAGGAACACCGGUGGCGAAGGCGGCUACCUGGACAGAAACUGACGCUGAGGCACGAAAGCUAGGGGGAGCAAACA